AGGCCGCGGGAGCUGGAAGGCUGGCGGAAGCUGUGUCACAGCGCGCCCCUGCGCCCACCACCCAGACAAGAGAGAUCUAAGUCAGGCGUUGGGCAGGAGAUGGAGCUGAGGCCUACCCCAGGCCAGGCCUGGACGUGACAUGCCCACGUGGCGUUGAGGAAAAACCAGUGUUUCCCACCGACUGGAACACAAGGAGGCGAAGGCAGGAGAAUCCAGGCGACCCUGGGGCUUUUCUGCUGGGGCACUGUUCCCCCUGUGGCAGGGCCAUCCACAGAGGGGCUGGCGGAAGUGGGAGGACGGCUUCUCAAUGCUGGAAGGGGACUCGUUGGGUCAGUGGGACGUGGGCUUCACGUUUGCUGGGCUGAAGACGUAGCUCUCCAUGCUGGCAUCCCAGCGGACACCCCCACUGCCACUGCUGCACCACGUCUUCACGUACACCAGAGAGCAGACUUGAGAGUUUCUGCGCAUACAGUGGGUGUGAAAUGGUGCCCUGCUGGGUUUUGAAUCGGCAUUCCUUGACCACCGGCCAUAUUGCAGCACUUUUCAUUUCUUCUGUCAAAUGCCCGUGCAUGUCUUGGCUUACACUUUGCAGGUGUUCUGUAUUUUCCACACCAAUCCCUGGGGUGUAUGUCUUCGGCCUACCUGUUACUUGUCUUCUCAGUUUGCUGAUGUAUCAUGUGAUAAACAGAAAGUCUUAAUUUUAAUAUCAUAGCAUUUAUCAAUCUGAUUUCUUUUUUUGAGACGGGGUCUCGCUCUGUCGUGCAGGCUGGGGUGCAUUGGCGCAAUCAUGGCUCACUGAAGCCUCCUGGGCUCAAGUGAUCCUCCCACCUUAGCCUCCCAAACACCUGGGACUACAGGCAGGCGCCACAGUGCCUGGCUAAUUUUGUAAUUUUUUUGUAGAGACAGGGUCUCGCUAUGUUGCCCAGGCUGGUCUCAAACUCCUGGACUCAAGCGGCCCUCCCGCCUUGGCUUCCCAAAGUGCUGGCCCGUGAGCCUGUGAGCCACUGCGCCUGGCUACCUUCUUUUGAAUUCCCAUUCAGACUGUGUGUUGCUGGUACAUAGAAAAACAAUGGAUUUCUAUGUAUCAAGUAACCUUGUAAACUCUCAUAUUAAGUCUAAUAAUUAUGUUUGGGUUCUCUUUGUGGAUUCUUUUUGAUUUUCUGCGUACACAAUCCUAUCAUCUGCAAGUAAUGACCAUUUUGUUUCUUCUAUUCCAGUCUUUUUAGCUUUGAUUUCUUUUUUUGAGGCAGAGUCUGGCUCUGUCACCCAGGCUGGAGUAUAGUGGCACAAUCUUGGCUCACUGCAACCUCCGCCUCCCUGGUUCAAGCAGUUCUCCUGCCUCAGCCUCCCAAGAAGCUGGGACUACAGGCACCCACCACCACGCCUGACUAAUUUUUGUAUCUUUACCAGACACAGGGUUUCACCAUGUUGGCCAGGCUGAUCUGGAACUCCUGAUCCACCUGCCUUGGCCUCCCAAAGUGCUAGGAUUACAGGCGUGAGCCACUGUGCCCGGCUGAUUUCGUUUCCUUGCUUUACUUCCCUGGACUUGCUUUCUCUUGCUUUUACUUCCUUUGAAUGAAAGCAUAGGAGGCGCUGGGCAUGGUGGCUCACGCCUGUAAUCCCAGCACUUUGGGAGGCCGAGGUGGGUGGAUCACCUGAGGUCAGGAGUUCGAGACCAGCCUGACCAACAUGGAGAAACUCUGUCUCUACUAAAAAUACAAAAAAAUUAGCCGAGCAUGGUGGCCCAUGCUUGUAAUCCCAGCUACUUGGGAGGCUGAGGCAGGAGACUCGCUUGAACCCAGGAGGCCGAGGUUGCGGUGAGCCAAGAUCGAGCCAUUGCACUCCAGCCUGGGCAACAAAAGCGAAACUCUGUCUCAAAAAAAAAAAAAAAAAAAAAAAAAAAGCAUAGGAGGCAUUCUCAGUGUUCCAUUAUUAAGUAUGAUGUUUGCAGGGAGCAUUCGGUAGAUAUGUUUAUCAGAUUUAGAAAGCUCCCUCCCAUUCCUAGUGUGCUAUAUGUUGAAUUUUUAUAAAAUGCUUUUUCUGAAUGCAUUAAUAUGAUCACAGGGUUUUCCUCCUCUAAUCUGUUAAUGUGGCAAAUUACAUUAAUUCAUUUUUAAAUGUUAAACCACUCUUGUAUUUUCUGGACUAAACUCAACUUUGCGUGAUGUAUUUUUUUCAUAUACAAUUCUGGAUUGGGUGGUUUUUUUUUUUUUUUUUAGCCUCGUAUUAUUAUCCUCGUCUGGUUUUGGUAUCAAGACAUCGUAAAGUGAGUUGAGGCAGUAUUUCCUUUUUCAGCUGUUCACUGGAACAGUUAGUCUAAGAUGGAGAUGAUCAGUUACUUCCAUGUUUGCUGGAGAUCAUCUGUAAAACCAUCUAGGCCUUCCUUGUUUUUUAUUUUCUGUUUUUUGUUUUGUUUCUUUUCUUUUCUCUUCUUUGUUUUUUUUGUUUUGUUUUGUUUUGUUUUGUUGUUGUUUUGAGACAGAGUCUCACUCUGUUGCCCAGGCUGGAGUGCAGUGGUACAGUCUUGGCUUACUGCAACCUCUGCCUCCUGGGUGCAAGCGAUUCUCCUGCCUCAGCCUCCCGAGUAGCUGGGACUGCAGGCAUGCACCACCACGUCCAGCUAAGUUUUGUAUUUUUAGUAGAGACGGUGUUUCGCCAUGUUGGCCAGUCUGGUCUUGAACUCCUGACCUCAGGUGAUCUGCCUGCCUCGGCCUCACAAAGUGCUGGGAUUACAGGCAUGAGCCACCGCAUCUGGCCUGGCCUUCCUUGUUUUUGUAGCUUCCUGCCUGUCCCCCUAUAGAUUUUAAACAAUGAAUCCAACUUCUGUAAUAAUUAUGGGACCAUUUAGGUUUUCUGUUUCUUCUUGAGUAAUUUUUUUAUUGUGGGAAAAAAUACAUAACACAAAAUUUGCCAUCUUUUUUUUUUUUUUUUUUGAGACAGGUCUUGCUCUGUUGCCCAGGCUGGGGUGCAGUGGCAUAAUCAUUGUAACCUCAAACUCCUGGUCUCAAGCAAUUCUCCUGCCUCAGCCUCCUGGGUAGCUGGGACUAUAGGCAUUCACCACCAUGCCCAGCUAAUUUUUAAUUUAAUUUUUUUUUUUGAGACAGAUCUCACUUUGUCACCCAGGCUGGAGUACAGUGGCGUGAUCUCAGCUCACUGCAACCUCUGCCUCCCGGGUUCAAGCAAUUUUUGUGCUUCAGCCUCAAAUUUUUAAUGUUUUUGGUAGAGAUGGGAUCUUGUUACUUUGCCCAGGCUGGUCUCCCAUUCCCAGACUCAAUCAAUCCUCCUACCUUGGCUUCCCAAAGCACUGGGAUUACAGGUGUGAGCCACCAUGCCCAGCCUCCAACUUUAUUCUUUUGCAUGUGGAUAUCAAGUUUCCCCUAUACCAUUUGUUGAAAAGACUGCCCUUUUCCCAAUUUGUAGCCUUGAUACCCUUGUCAAAAAUCAUCUGACCAUAUACUUGAGAGUUUCUUUCUGGGCUCUGGAUUAUAUUCUGUCUCUGUCUUUAUGCCAGGACCACACUGUAAUAUGUUUUAUUUUGUAAAUCAGGAAGUGUGAGUCCUCGAACUUUGUUCUCCUUUUUCAGAAUUGUUUUGGUUAUUUGGAGCCCCUUGAGAUUCUAUCUGAAUUUAGGAUGAAUCAUUCUAUUUUGAGUCAAUUUUUGAUAAACAAUAUUUUUCUAGGAACAUGCUUUUUUUUUUUUUUUUUUAGACAGAAUCUAGCUCUGUCGCCCGGGCUGGAGUGCAGUGGCAUGAUCUUGGCUCACUGCAACCUUUGCCUCCUGGGUUCAAGCAAUCCUCCUGCCUCAGCCUCUCGAGUAGCUGGGAUUACAGGUGCCCGCUACCACGCCCAGCUGAUUUUUGUAUUUUUAGCAGAGACGGAGUUUCACUGUGUUGGCCAGGCUGGUCUUGAACUCCUGACCUCAGGUGAUCCACCUGCGUCGGUCUCCCAAAGUGCUGGGAUUACAAGCGUGAGCCACCGCGCCUGGCUGGAACAUGCCCAUUUUGUUUAAGUUUUCAAGUUUAUUAGCAUAAAGUGUUUUGGUUUUAUUUUAUCAUUGAUUUAUUAUUAAUAAAUGUCUUGGGUCAAAACCAGAUGACGUUGCUUAAUGUUCAUUUAUUGUUAACCUACAAAAAUUGCAGUUUCAUCUUGUUCAAUCUAAUACACACGGAAGAGCAUAUGCUGCUUAGAUGAAUCAUCCCCACUGACAGCCAUCAUGGACCCUUCUUUUUCCCUUCGCAGUUAGUCCUAGCCUUUCCUUGGUUUUCUUUAUACUUGUCCCAAAUAUGAAUUAGCCUUAAACAAUAAAUUAUUUACUUUUGCAACAAAUUUUUUGGUUUUAUUUUUUUAAAUGUGUUAACUAGAAUCACCAUGCUGUACAUCAGAUCUCUGGAACGUCUCCAUCCUGCAUAACUGAAACUUGGUACCCUUUGACCAGCAUUUUCCCAUUUCCCCUACCCCAGUCCUGGCGGCCACUGUUCUGCUCUGUUUCCAUGAGGCUGACAUUUUUACUUUCCACGUGAGCAGCGUCAUGCAGUAUUUGCCUUUCUGUGCCCGGCUUACUUCACUUAAUGUAAUGUCCUCCAGGUUCCUCCAUGUUGCAAAUGGCAGGAUUGCCUUCUUUUUAAAGGCUGAGUAGUGAUCCAUUGUGUAUCUGUACCACAUUUUCUUUAUCCAUUCAUCUGUUGGUGGGCAUUUCGUUUGAUUCCAUAUCUUGGCGAUUGUGAGUAGUGCUUCAAUGGACAUGCGAGUGUGGAUAUUGCCUCGACAUACCGAUUUCAUUUCCUUUAGAUACAUACCCAGAAAUGGGAUUGCUGGAUUGUAUGGUCAUUCUCACUUUAAAUAUUUUGAGGAACCACCAUGCAUACCAUUUUCCAUACUGUUCCAAAAUGUUCCCUUUUCUCCACACCCUCGCCAAAGUUUGUUUUCUUUUGUCUUUUUGAAAACGAUCAUUCUAAUUUGAGUGAGGUGGUGUCUCAUUGUGGUUUUGAGUUGCAUUUCCCUGAUGAUUGGUGAUGUCGAGCAUUUUUUUCUUUUUUUAAGAUGGAGUUUUGUUCUUUCGCCCAGGCUGGAGUGAAGUGGCGCGAUCUUGGCUUACUGCAACCUCUGCCCCCCGGAUUCAAGUGAUUCUCCUGCCUCAGCCUCUGGAGUAGCUGGGAUUACAGGCGUAUGCCACCACACCUGGCUAAGUUUUGUAUUUUUAGUAGAGACAGGGUUUCACCAUGUUGGCCAGGCAGGUCCUGAACUCUUGACCUCAGGUGAUCCACUCACCUCGGCUUCCCAAAGUGCUAGGAUUACAGGCGUGAGCACUGCACCCGGCUGAUGUUGAGCAUUUUUUUUUAAUAGACCUAUUGGCCGUUUGUAUGUCUUCUUUUGAGAAAUGCCUGUUCAGGUCCUUGCCCAUUUAAAUUGGGUUAUUUAUUUUUUCAAUUUUCAAUUUUUAAUUUUUAGGAGUACAUAGUAGGUGUAACUGGGUUAUUUUAACUGGGUUAGAAAAUACAUUUGCUUGCUAUUGAGUUGUAUGAGUUCCUUGUGUGUUCUGUGUAUUAACCUUGUAUCAGAUGGAUGGUUUACAACUAUGUUCUUCCAUUCCAUAGGCUGUCUCCUUCACUCUGUUGAUUGCUUCCUCUGCUGUGCAGAAGCUUUUUAGUUUGAUGCAAACUCAUUUGUCUGUUUUUGUUUUGUUGCCUGUGCUUUUGGUGUCAUAUUGAAAAACUUAUUGCCCAGACCAGUGCCAAGCAGCUUUUCACGUAAGUUUCUUCUAGUAGUUUUCUAAUUUCAGGUCUCACAUUUGAAUCUUCAGUCCGUUUUGAGUUGAUCUUUGUGCAUUGUGUGAGAUAAGGGUCUAAUUUCAUUCUACUGCAAGUGAAUAUCCAAUUUUCCCAACACCAUUUAUUGACAAGACUGUCUUUUGUCUAUCAUGUAUUAUUGGCACCUUUGUCGAAGAUCAAUCAACUGUAAAUGCAUAGAUUUAUUUCUGGGUUCACUAUUCUGUUACGUUGGUGUAUGUGUCUGUUUUUAUGCCAGAACCAUGCUGUUUUGGUUACUAUAGCUUUGUAACAUAUUUUGAGAUCAGAUAGCAUGAGUCUUCCAGUUUUGUUCUUUUUGUUCAAGAUUGCUUUGGCUAUUUGGGGUCUUUUGUGGUUUAACAUACAUUUUAGAAUUGCUUUCUCUAUUUCUGUGAAAAAUCUCAUGGGAAUAUUGAUAGGGAUUACAUUGAAUGUGUAGAUCACUUUGGGUAGUAUAGACAUUUUAACAAUAUUAACUAUCCCAAUCCAUGAACACAGGGUAUCUUUCCAUUUAUUUGUGUUUUCUUCAGUUUCUUUCAUCUGUGGUUUACAGUUUUCGGUGUAUAGGUCUUUCACCUCCUUGGUUAAACUUAUUCCUAAGUAUUUUAUUUUUUAUAGCUAUUAUAAAUGAGAUUGUUGGCUUGAUUUCCUUUUUGGAUAACAAAAUAAAUCUUCUUUGAUGAUUUCUUUUUUAGAAAGUGCAUUGGCUGGGCGCAGUGGCUCACGCUUGUAAUCCCAGCACUUUGGGAGGCCGAGGUGGGCGGAUCACAAGGUCAGGAAUCGAGACCACGGUGAAACCCUGUCUCUACUAAAAAUACAAAAAAUUAGCUGGGCAUGGUGGCGGGCGCCUGUAGUCCCAGCUACUCGGAGAGGCUGAGACAGGAGAAUGGCGUGAACCCGGGAGGCGGAGCUUGCAGUGAGCCGAGAUAGUGCCACUGCACUCCAGCCUGGGCAACAGAGACUCUGUCUCAAAAAAAAAAAAAAAAAAAAGAAAGUGCAUUGUUAGCAUAUAGCAUAUAGAAAUGCUACUAGGUGAGGCAUGAUGGCUCACACCUGUAAUUCCAGCACUUUGAGAGGCCAAGGCAGGAGGAUCACUUGAGCCCAGAAAUUCAAGACCAGCCCAGGCAACUAAACAAGACCCUGUCUCAAUAAUAGCAAUAAUAUUAAUACUAAUUAGUCAGGCAUGAUGGUGCACAUUUGUAGUCUCAGCUACUCAGGAAGCUGAGGUGGGAGAAGCCCAGGAGGUCAAGGCUGCAGUGAACUGUGAUUGAGCCACUGUACUCCAGGUGGGGUGAUAGAGCAAGAUUCUGUCUCAAAAAAAAAAAAAUAAAAUAAAAAAUAAAAGCUAUUGUUUUGUAUGCUGAUUUUGUAUCCUGUACCUUGACUGAAUUCUAACAAUUUUUCGGUGGAGUCUUUAGGGUUUUCUGCAUACAGGAUUGUGUGAUCUGCAAACAGAGACAAUUUAAUCUCUCUCUCUCUCUUUUUUUUUUUUUUUUUUUUACGAAGUGUCACUCUGUUGUCCAGGCUGGAGUGCAGUAGUGUGAUCUCGGCUCACUGCAACCUCAGCCUCUCAAGUUCAAGUGAUUCUCCUGCCUCAGCCUCCCAAGUAGCUGGGAUUACAGGCAUGCACCACCACACCUGGCUAAUUACUGUCUUUUUAGUAGAGAUGGGGUUUCACCAUGUUAGCCAGGCUGGUCUCGAACUCCUGACCUCAGGUGAUCUGCCUACCUCGGCCUCCGAAAGUGCUGGGAUUAUAUGUGUGAGCCACCGAGCCUGGCCUAAUUUGGGUUUUUAAAUGUUUUUUUUUUUCUUUUCUCAUUGCUGUGGCUAGGCCUUCCAGGACUAUGCUGAGUAGAAGUGGUGAGAGUGGGCAUCCUUGUCUUGCUCCUGAUCUUAAAGGAAGAGCUUUCAGCUUUUCACCAUUCAGUAUGAUGUUAGCUGUGGGCUUGUCAUAUAUGGCCUUUAUGAUGUUGAGGUAUAUUCCUUCUAUACCUAAUUUGUUGAGAGUUUCUUUUUAAUUUUGUUUUUUUGGUAGAGACAGGGCCUAUGUUGCCCAGGCUGGUCUUAAACUCCUGGGCCCAAGUGAUCCUCCUGCCUUGGCCUCCCAAAGUGCUGGAACUACAGGCACGCACCAAUGUACCUGGCUAAUUUGUAUUUGUUUGUUUGUUUGAGACAGGGUCUUGCUCUGUCACCCAGACUGGAGUGCAGUGGUAUGAUCCUGGCUCACAGUAGCCUCGAACUCCAGGGCUCAAGCCUCCAGAGUAGCUGGGACUACAGGCACACACCACCAUGAUUGGUUAAUUUAAAAAAAUUUUUUUUUGUAGAGGUGUCUUGCUAUGUUGCCCAGGCUGGUCUGAACUCCUGGGCUCAAGAGAUCCUCCUGCCUCGGCAUCCCAAAGUGCUGGGAUUACAGGCAUGAGCCACUGCACCUGGCCAAGAGCUAAUUUUUUUUUUUUUACAUCAUGAAAGAAUGUUAAAUUUUGUCAAAUGCUUUUUCUGCAUCAAUUGAGAAAUGAUUUUAUUCUCCAUUCUGUUAACGUGGUGCAUCACAUUUAUUGGUUUGCAUAUAUUCAAUCACCCUUGUAUCCCAGGGAUAAAUUCUACUUGCUCAUGGUGAAUGAGCCUUUUAAUGUGCUAUUGAAUUCGGUUUGCUAGUAUUUUGUUGAAGAUUUUUGCACCUGUGUUCAUCAGGGAUAUUGGCCUGUAGCUUUUUUUCUUUUAGUGUUCUUGUCCAGCUUUGAUAUCAGGGAAUUUUCUGACCUUAUUAAAUGAGUUUGGAAGCGUUCCCUCCUCUUUAGUUUUUUGGAAGAGUUUGAGAAGGAUAGGUAUUAGUUAUUUAACUGUUUGGUAGAAUUUACCAAUGAAGCCAUCAGGCCUGAGCUUUUCUUUGAUGAGAGACUCUAUUACUUGUCCAAUCUCCUUACUCAUUAUUGGUCUGUUCAGAUUUUCUAUUUCUUCUUAAGUCAGUCUUGGUAGGUUGGAUGUGCCUAGGAAUGUAUCCAUUUUUUCUAGGAUACCCAAUUUGUUGGAGUAUAAUUAUUCAUAGUAGUUUCUUUUUUUUUUUUCUUUUUUUUUUUUUUUUGAGACGGAGUCUCACUCUGUUGCCCAGGCUGGAGUGCAGUGGCACGAUCUCAGCUCACUGCAAGCUCUGCCUCCCGGGUUCAUGCCAUUCUCCUGCCUCAGCCUCCCGAGUAGCUGGGACUACAGGCGCCCGCCACCACGCCCGGCUAAUUUUUUGUAUUUUUAGCGGGGACGGGGUUUCACCGUGUUAGCCAGGCUGGUCUUGAUCUCCUGACUUCAUGAUCCACCCGCCUCGGCCUCCCAAAGUGCUGGGAUUACAGGCUUGAGCCACCGUGCCCGGCCUAUUCAUAGUAGUUUCUUACAAUCCUUUGCAUUUCUGUGGUAUCAGUUGUAAUGUCUCAUUUCUGAUUGAUUUAUUUGAGUCUUAUCUCUUCUUAGUUGGUCUAGCUAGAGGUUUGUUGAUUUUAUCUUAAAAAAAUCCCAACUCUUAGUUUCAUUCAUCUUUUCUGUUAUUUUUCUAGUCUCUAUUUCAUGUAUUUCUGCUUUGAUCUUUGUUCUUUCCUUCUUUCUGCUGACUUUGGGCUUAUUUUGUUCUUCCUUUUCUAGUUCCUUGGUGUGUAAAGUUAGGUUGUUUAUUUGAGAUCUUUCUUACUUCUUUUUUCUUUUUUUUUUUUUUCCAGUGACUCUCGUGCCUCAGCCUCCCAAGUAGCUGGGACUACAGGCAUGUGCCACCACGCCCACUAAUUUUUGUAUUUUUAGUAGAGACGGGUUUUCGCCAUGUUGCUCAGGCUGGUCUUGAACUUCUGGCCUCAAGUGACCCACCAACCUUGGCCUCCCAAUGUGCUGGGAUUAUAGACGUGAGCCACCAUGCCCAGCCUCUUUCUUAUUUCUUAAUGGAGGCAUUUAAGGCUCUAAACUUCCCUCUCGGAAUUGCUUUGCUGCACACUGCAUUUUGUAUGUUGUGUUUCCAUGUUCAUUUGUCUCAAGAGAUUUUUUUUUUUGUUUCCCUUUUGAUUUCUUCUUUGACCCAUUGGUUGUUCAGGAGGGUGUUGUGUAUUUCCACAAAUCUGUGAGUUUUCCAGUUUGCUUUCUCUUAGUGAUCUCUUGUUUGCGGUUGGGAAAGAUGCUUAAUGUGAUUUGAUCUUCUUGAAUUUGUUAAGACUUGUUUUGUGGCCUGACAUAUGGUCUAUCCUGGAGACUACCCCAUGUGCAGCUGAGAAGAAAGCGAAUUCUGCUGCUGGUGGAUGGAAUGUUCUGUGUAUGUCUGCUAGGUCCAUUUGCUCUAGAGCAGUGGUCCCCAAUCUUUUUGGCACCAAGGACCAGUUUCGUGGAAGAUAAUUUUUCCAUGGAUGGAGGGUUGGGGGGUAUGGUUUCAGGAUGAAACUGUUCCACCUCAGAUCAUCAGGCACAACCUCGAUCCCACACAUUCGCAGUUCAUGAUAGGGUUCGUGCUCCUAUGAGAAUCUGAUGCCGCUGCUGAUCUGCCAGGAGAUGGAGCUCAGGCGGGAAUGCUCACUUGCCCACCAGUCACCUCCUGCUCUGCAGCCCGGUUCCUAACAGGCCACAGACUAGUACUGGUCAGUGGCCUGGGGUUGGGGACCCCUGGUCUAGAGUGUUGUUCAAAUCCUGCAGCAUUAUUUUUUUUUAACUUCCCUAUAAGUGGAAUCAUACUGGAUAUAUUUUUCUAUAACCUGCUGUUUUCACUCCACAUGACAUUUGUGACAGACAUCCAAGUUGAUGCACAUAACCGUAGUUUAUUCAUUUAUUUAUUUUUUUAGACUUCUAUGGUCUGACUCUGGGACAUUUCUAUUGCUGUAUACUGUUUCAUUGUAUGACUCUAACAUAGAUCUUUUAUCUGUUCUUCUGCUAAUGGACACUUGGGUUGCUUCUGGCUUUUGCCUAUUAAAAAACAUUUAAACAUUAUUUUAAGCAUUAUAAACAAUGAUGCUGUGAGCGAUUUUGUACAUGCAAUCUGGUGUCUAGGAGUGAAAUUGUUAGCUUCUAAAUGUGCACAUCUUCAACUAUACUGAAUAAUGCUCACUGUUUUCCAAAGUGGUUGUCCCAGUUUGCCUGCCCCGGGGAAGUGUGAGUUCCUGCUGCUCUGUAGUACUGCUAACACUUGGUAUUGUCAGACUUUACAUUUCUGCCAAUCAGUGGAUGCAAAAAGAUACUUCACUGUGGGCCGGGUGCGGGGGCUCAUGCCUGUAAUCUCAGCACUUUGGGAGGCCAACGUGGGUGGGUCACCUGAGGUCAGGAGUUUGAGACCAGCCUGACCAACGUGAUAAAACCCUGUCUCUACUAAAAAUACAAAAAUUAGCCAGGUGUGGUGGCGUGCACCUGUAAUUCCAGCUACUUGGGAAGCUGAAGCAGGAGAAUUGCUUGAACCUGGGGGGCAGAGGUUGCAGUGAGCUGAGAUUGUGCCAUUGCACUCUAGCCUGGGUGAUAGAGUGAGACUCCGUCUCAAAAAAAAAAAAGGGUAUUUUACUGUGGCUUAAAUUUGCAUCUCCACAGACCUUCUGUUCUAUCUCUGGUCUUCUGUACAAAGUGGGGCAGAGAUAUGGGCAUCUAGCAUCUUCUUUGUUUUCUUCUUCUUUUUUUUUAAUCUGCAUAGCCAGUGCAAGGACAGCAGCUUCUUAUAGAGACUUCCAAUAAAUCAUCUUGUUCUGCACUCCCCAACACAUACACACACAUUGUUUCUGAGUUAUCUGGUGCCUCCGAUUCUUGUGCAAACCCAACUUUGCCACUGGCUGCCUCCCACUACUUUUUUUCCCCUAAGUGUUAAAACAUUUAUUCGAGAUGGCAAAAUUCCUACAAGUUUUCCUAGCAUGUAAUUGAGGAAAAUAACACAAUUUUUGUAAUUAUUAAAUGUGAAGGGAAAAUUCUUUUGGAUGUAUUUCUUUUCCUGAAAUGCAGAGGUGGAGAUGUCAGGUUGGUGAAAGGAGGCGGUAUUUCAAAUGGCUUCUUUUCCUGGUGCCUGGUAGCCUUUGACCCCACGACGUAUCAUGGUGCAACAUCCUGCUCUUGUCAACUGGGGUCAGGUUUCUGGGAAAGGCAGGUUAGGUUAGAGCCCCUGUGCAAGCUGAGGCGGGACAUUGGCUCCUUGGGACCAUCCAUGCUGAGCCCCUCCUGGACAGGCUUCAUAAUCCUCAGGGGAGCAUGUGCCCCGGCAUAAAGACUACUCUUCUAGAACGUCAAAUCAGAGCACUGGCAAGGGAGAUGCAGGGUCACAUGGUGCCUUCUCCCUCCUUUCUGGCUGGAGACUUAGACCGUUCCAAACAGAUGAUGAUUUACUGCAUCACCGAGCAUGGGCAGCAUAUGAGACCGAAAACACCCUCAAUCACAUCAUUCUUGUAUUCACCUAGUGGUCGCUGUGUACCUCCCACGUCAGGCACUGUACUACCAGACACUGAGGAUCCAGUGGGGAGCGAGAGGGACUUUGGGGACUGAGUCAGUAGGACACGGGCUGGUGGGUUAGGGAAGGAUGAGGGAGACAGAGGGUCAGAUGAUCCCCAUGGUUCUGCCUGGGGAACCUGAAGGGAAGUCAGAAAGGAAGCCAGGUUGAAGAGGGAUGGCAAUGAGUUUUGUGUUUGGUCUGCAAGACAGAGAUGCCGGGUUGGGGGGAGAACAGGUAGGAGGUGUGCAUCACAGGCAAAGGCAAUUGCUCUAUGGGCCUGGGUUUUGAUGGGAAGAGACGCUAAAUCAUAGUGCAUGAUUCUUUUUCAAAAUUGUAAUGCAAAGAGCCCUCAUUGAAUCUGCAUUUGAUAGCAUGUACUGUGCAAGUUUCGGGGGUAUCAGGAAGAAGAAACAUGCUCCUUUGUCUCCUGAAGCUCACAGGCUAGUGGACAUGGCAGACACGUAAGAGAAGGCAGAAGAGGUCAGCCCACAGAGAACAGCUUUGGGUUUGCCUCUGAUGCUGGCCCUGGCCCAGAUCAACCAAACCUAAUGGAAACAGAGAGCUGAGAAAGCGGGAGAGUUGAGCUCACUGAUGCUCGGAUUUUACAGAUGAAUGUGGAGGCGGUUUCUCCCAGUGCUGACAUCCAGGUGCUGCGGGUGCCACAGAGAAACAUGGAGGGGCCUUCUGGAGACCACCGCGCCCAGCAUCCUUCCCGCUUUUAGAACUGGAGCGAGACAACCAUGUGUGCUAUCACUGCUUCUUUCUUUACAGUGUCGGUCCAACACCGUAAUGGUCUGACAGCCCUGCAGGCUGGAAGCCCAGGAUCACGGUGCCAGCAGGGUUGGUUUCUUCCAAGGCCUCUCAUCUGGGUGGUGGCCUCAUGUGGCCUUUCCUCUGUGGGCACGUGCCCUUGGUGCCUCCCACCACUUUUUUCCAAGUUCACGCUGAUCCCUUGAAUCAGUUAUCACUCCCCCACUUGUUUUCCAGCUUCUGUGAUGUUCCUGGCAGGCGCUCCUCUCACUCUCUGCUGUGAACUCUCCCUUUUACAUCUGCAAUCCCUUUGCAUUCCUUUUAGCUGAAGUUGUUCCCACUCAUGUCUUUCGCCCCCAGGUGCCCCGAUGUUUCAGCUCUCAGUGGUGCCUGCAGGGAGAUCCCUCUGUACUUCAUAAUAUUAUUUUUAUUUUUUACACUUUUUUUUUUUGAGAUGGAGUUUUGCUCUUCUCGCCCAGGCUGGAGUGCAGCGGUACAAUCUUGGCUCAAUGCGACCCCCGCCUUCCAGUUUCAAGCAAUUCUCCUGCCUCAGCCUCCCAGGUGGCUGGGAUUACAGGUGCCCGCCACCACGCCCAGCUAAUUUUUGUAUUUUUAGUAGAGAUGGGGUUUCGUCAUGUUGGCCAGGAUGGUCUCUAACUCCUGACCUCAGGUGAUCCGCUCACCUUGGCCUCCCGAGGUGCUGGGAUUACAGGCGUGAGCCACCGCGCCUGGCCACACUUUUUUUUUCUUUUUUAAUUUCCUCAUAGUACUGCUUGGGCUACAUGGCUUAAGCUUUUGUACAUAGUUUUCAUUGUUCGGUUCUAAAUGCUUUUAGAUUUUCAUUCUAAUUCUUCUCGGACCAGUGCAUUAUUUUUUAUUUUUUUAAUUUAAAAAAUAAUUUAAUUUAGUUUUAUAGAGAUGGGGGGUCUCACUAUGUUGCUCAGGCUGGUCUUGAACUCCUGGGCUCCAGGGAUCCUCCUGCCUUGGCCUCCCGAAGUUCUGGGAUUAUAGGUGUGAGCCACCGUGCCUGGCCAGUAGUGUAUCUUUAAAUUUCCAAACAUAGGGGAGCCCUUAAUUUUAGUUUGGUUGCCAAUUUAUGCCUUUAUUCUGUUGCAUCAAGAACAUGGCUGGUGUGAUGCAAGUUCUUUUGCUAUUUGUUGAGUCUUGCUUUGCAGCCUAGGACAUGGUGUUAGUAAAUGUCCAAGGUGAACUUGAAAACAAUGUGUGGUCUGUAGUUUUUGGGUGUCCACUAAAUCAAGUUUGUUCAACUUUUCCAUAUUUUUUUAUUUUAUUUUUAUUUUUUGACAGAGUCUCACUCUGUUGCCCAGGCUGGAGUGCAGGGGCACAAUCUCAGCUCACUGAAACCUCAAGUUCAAGUGAUUCUCCUGCCUUAGCCACCCGAGUAGCUGGGAUUACAGGCAUGAGCCACCACAUCUGGCUCAUUUUUGUAUUUUUUAUUUUAGUUUCAGCACGUUGGCCAAGCUGGUCUCAAACUCCCGACCUCAAGUAAUCCGCCUGCCUUCGCCUCCCAAAGUGUUGGGAUUACAAGCAUGAGACACUAUGCCUGGCCCAAUUUUUCUAUAUUCUUACUCAUUGAGUCUGCUUAAACCAGCAGUUCCAGUGAGAAGUGGUAUAAUUUCCUGCGUGGAGAAUGUGCUCAUUUAUUCAUUUUUCCUUUUCUUGACACUUUUUUGUUUUGUAGUCAUUUGGGGCUCUAUCAUUAUGCAGGUGCACACAAGAUCAGAAUGGCUAAUGCUUCUUUUUUUUGUUUUUUGUUUUCCUGUCGCCCAGGCUGGAGUGCAAUGGCGUGAUCUUGGCACACUGCAACCUUCGCGUCCCGGGUUCAAGCAGUUCUGUCUCAGCCUCCCAAGUAGCUGGGACUACAGGCAUGAGCCACCAUGCCUGGCUAAUUUUGUACUGCAGUAGAGAUGGGGUUUCACCAUGUUGUUCAGGCUGGUCUCGAACUCCUGACCUCAGGUGAUCUGCCCGCCUUGGCCUCCCAAAAUGCUGGGAUUACAGGCGUGAGCCACCGCGCCUGGCCGCUAAUACUUCUUUUAAAAUAAUUAACUUAUUUAUGUAUUUAUUCUUUUUCCCCCACCCCUCCCCCGCCAGUGAAUGCUUUGGAAUGAAUACUUAUCAGUAUGCUGCAACCACUUUUAAUCCUAAUAAUGAUUUUGCCCUGGAGCCUAUUUGUGCAAUAUGAGCUUCUCUCCACUAGCUUCCUUUUGGAUGGUCUUUGCCAGAUGUGUCUCCUUCUAUCUGUAGUAAUUAGAGCCAUUCCAGCUAUGUGUCAGAAAUAAACAAACGGGGUUUAUGAUCAAGCAUGGGCGACUUACACAAUCGUCAAAAGAAAUGGAGGAACAACUCUCAGCCCUCCGAAUCGGCCACCUCCUGGGAUCAGGAAUAAAUCCUAAUCUCAAAAUGCAGGUAAACAGUCUACCUCUUGUCCCCUAAAUGAGAUGCCAAGCAUGCCCCUCCCCUCAGCCAGGCUGUCUCCAUCCAAACUUCAAUGACCACUGGCCUCCCUGCUGACCCACGUCCCACUGAGGAGCCCCAAGCUCUGAACCAACUGCCUACACACCAUCCCCUCGGGCUGCACCUGCUCCCCAGGCCUGCCCCUCCUUUGGAGCUGCCUCUGUCCACCAAGGGUGCUGUCGCUCACCUAACCUUCCAAGCCAGAACCCAGUGGUACCUUGCUGCCCCCUCCACUCCCUGAAGAAGCUGCCCCCAUGCCUGUUGAGUUCUUCCAACUGCUCGAACCUUCUGGAACUUCAGGCCUCAGCAUGUCUUGUCUGGGUGGCUGCAAUGGCUGUGCUUGCUUCUCUGUCUCUCUCCAUCAAUCAAUCAAUCAAUCGAUCAAUCAUCUAUCAAUCAACUAUCCGCCUAUUAAUCUAUAAUCAAUAAUCUAUCAAUUUAUAUCAUUUACUUAUAUAAUCAAUCAUUGAUCUAUCCCAUGUAUCUUCCUUUUAUCAUGUCUAUCCAUCUAUCUAUCAUUUAUGCCUCUAUCAUGUCUAUCUUUCAAUCAUUUAUCUAUCACCAGGCACAGUAGCAUGUGCCUGUAGUCCCAGUAACUCAGGAGGCUGAGGUAGGAGGGCUGCUUGAUGCUAGCAGAUCGAGUCCAGACUGGGCAAGAUAGUGAGAUCUUGUCUCUAAAAAAACUUUUAAAACCAUCUAUCAUCUCUCUCUAUUCAUCUGUCUAUCCAUGUAUCUAUCAUGUAUUUUAUCUAUCACUUAUCACCUAUGAAUCAUCCAUCAUCUAUCAAUCAAUCAUCUAUAUCAAUCAUGUCUAUAUAUCUAUAUAUCUAUGUAUCAAUUUAUCCAUCAAUCAUCUGUUUUUGAGGCGAUAUUCACAAAAUAUACAAUCAAUCCCUUUAAAGUGCAUAAUUCAGUGGCAUUUAGUAUGCUCUAUAGUUCGAGAACAUUUUCUUCGAAAUAAAAAGAAACCCGAGGCUGGGUGUGGUGGCUCAUGCCUGUAAUCCAGCACUGUGGGAGGCUGAGGCAGGACGAUCGCUUGAGUUCAGCAGUUUGAGACCAGCCUGGGCAACAUAGUGAGAUCCUGUCUCCAAAAAAAAAAAAUCACAAAAUUAGCAGGGUAUGGUGGCACACGCCUGUGGUUCCAGCUACUCAGGAGGCUGGGGCGGGAUUGCUUGAGCCCGGGAGAUCAAGGCUGCAGUGAGUUAUGACUGCGCCACUGCACUCCAGCCUGGGUGACAGGGUGAGACCCUGUCUGUCUCAUUAAAAAAUAAAAAAUAAAUACAAAAUUUUUUAAAAAGGACUCCCCCCGCCACAUUUUCCUUCCCCUGCCCCAGCCCCUGACACCCACUUGUCUGCUUUCUGUCCCGAUGAGCCUAUUCUGGACAUUUGUGUCUGGCUUCUUUCACCCAGCACGAACUCUUUGAGGUCUAUCUGUCGUGUUAUGGCAGAAUGGCACUGUGCCUUAUGGACAGGCUGUUUGUCCAUUUGUCUGUUGAUGAACACUCAGGCUGCCCCACCUUUGGGAGGCUGUGGCCAUCCAUGCAUAAAGGUAUGGCCGCACAGCUGUUCUCAGUUCUCGUGCCUCUGAGGCCAGAUGGGCUGCCGCACCCUAUUCCCACCAGCCACCCUCACAUGCAGCCACGUGGCCUGCAGUACUCGACACUGCUUCCCUGUUGCUGAAAGCUCCUCGGUGGCCUCUGGGCUAAGUCCUGUCUCUGUAGUGUGGCCUCCAAGGCCCGCCGGCCGCAGCCCUCCCUUCCCCUGCCCUCCCUUCCCCUGCAUGCAGCACGAACACCCUGCGCUGUGCUCCCAGUUCCCCCCAGGCCCCUGCACAAGUGGCCGCCUCUCCCUAGAAGGGCCAGCAGCACCCUGUGUGGCAGCUUAGACAUCCCUUCUCUUGCCUUCGUGCUCCUCCCACAGGGACCAGCAUGAUCCCCUCCCCUAGUCCUAUUUGGGCUCAGCCAGUAUUUCUGUGCAAUGUUGUUGCAGGUUCCGCCCCGCCACCGUCACAGGAAUCCUAAGAGCAUUGGCGUGAGGCUCGGCGGAGGGCAUGCUGGACCAUGUCUUCUGGUGACUUUCCCCCUCGGAGGGGCUUGGGGGUCAGGCCCACUCCUUUCCCAAACUCACUCUUUCCCCCACAGGCAACCCACUCCCUCUCCUCCAUCUCUCCUCGAGACCCACAGCAGACACCACCAGGCUCUGAGGCAGGGAGGAAGGACUGCAUUUGCCAGUGGAGGCUUUUACUGGGGGGACUGGGGGUGGUGCCCGGCCCGAGGGCUGAGGGCCCGGGAAAGGCACACGGUGGCGGUGGGGUCUCUCUCGGGCAGGCGCUGGCUCCGCAGACAGCUCCCCCUGGUGACCCCUCUUUGGCACUGAGCUGGGAACAUGGUGUCCGCACUCCUGGCUGGCAAGCAGAGGCCCGUGUGCCCCGGUGGCGGCUGGCAGUGUAGGCUGGCGGGGUGACGGCCGCAGGGGCUGGGUUUGGCACCGGUGGGAGCCGGGGCCCCACGGGACUCAGAGGCUGGGCCGCCCCCGCUGCUGGCACGGUAGUCACAUUGGCCACGGAGAUGGCUACGAAUAGGGAAUCCAAUAAAUUAGGCUGUAGAAAGAGGUGGUGAGGGGCCGAGGGGGCGGGGCCUGCAUUCUCGCUUGGCAGGCAGUGCUGUGCGUCCCUCUCCCCUCUCCCGUGGGAUCUUUGGGGCUCUUGUGGGGGAGAGGAUGCAGGUGAGGCGCUCUGUGUGACUGUGGGUCCCACUGGGCGGCUUUUAUGGCAUCCCACGGAACGGGAGCCUUGGCUGACCACCCUCAGGGGAUGGACCAUGGGGUCUUUGAGAGACUGACGAGGAGGGAAUCAUGGGGACUCGAGUCUCUGGAGGGAGGCCACCUGCAGUGCCAGGGGCUGUGGCCUGACGGGCUCCUGGGGCUCGGCUGCGCUGCUGUGUGGCCAGCACUGGGCCCCUUGUACCCCAGCUUCCUCCACGGAGCAAAGUAGAGGACUCACUGCCCUGGACAGGGCCCAGUCACUGUGGAACAGCGCCCCCAGGGAGUGGGAGGGACAGGGCGAGGGUUACGCAGGGCGCCACCCUCCACAUCUACUUUCCCGAGGGCGGGAAGGGUUUUCUAGGAGGAGGGGCCAGGCAUGCAGGGGCGGGGUGCGUGCAUGGGUGGGUGCUGCUGUCUCCUUCAUGUGAUCCGAGCUUGGGGGCGGGGCAGGGGCCGGGGACGGUUGUGUCAGGUGGAGGCACCCUGG
RNAcentral lists this long non-coding RNA (18676 nucleotides) under Homo sapiens (human). Its description in RNAcentral is "HSALNT0409127". The stretch from base 1730 to 1878 matches the Rfam family "Metazoan signal recognition particle RNA". The record is from RNAcentral. Lineage: Eukaryota; Metazoa; Chordata; Mammalia; Primates; Hominidae.